AUUGCCACCCCUAAUCAUAACAUCAAUUUGUGCUGUCAUGAGCUGUUACCAUAUUUAAUAAUAACUAUUAAAUUUUAUUAGAACAACUCAAUAAAGUGAACGGAUUUUCUUAAAUUCUGUUGGUAUGGUAGCAAUACAUAAAAUCAGUGAUCAGUGGAAUAACACUAGUUUCAAAAUAAAACAUGAAACUACGGUGACAGACAUUAGAAGAAGUUGGCAAUCUUCAAUUGAUAUCUAUUGGACAUCAAUGAAUAUAA
RNAcentral lists this long non-coding RNA (257 nucleotides) under Elaeis guineensis (African oil palm). RNAcentral's name for it is "long non-coding RNA (EGUI_LNC057016)". The record is from RNAcentral. Lineage: Eukaryota; Viridiplantae; Streptophyta; Magnoliopsida; Arecales; Arecaceae.